This is a long non-coding RNA of Lolium rigidum, 708 nucleotides long. RefSeq lists it as uncharacterized. The transcript is spliced from 3 exons. The record is from RefSeq and is a predicted model, not a curated record. Lineage: Eukaryota; Viridiplantae; Streptophyta; Magnoliopsida; Poales; Poaceae.
UUUGCGCAUUUUGGUGGUUGGCUUCACAGAAGGUGUUGCUUUCAUCUUCCUGGGUACAGAGGCUGGGUUGUACGGGUUGUUGCACACAGUUGAGCUCAGUUGAGGCUGAAGCAAGAAUGUAAGACAGAGAUUCUUCGUGAAAGCCAUACCCUACACGAGCUUUUACACUGGAGGUACGAGGUACUUGUGCUGAUUGACAAGAAAGAGCUGGCUCGAGUCCAGGAGCUCAUCGAAUCCAUCAUCGUCCCUUACUGAGAAAUACAAUUAUGUGAUGGCACCAAGGGGCUUGCCAUAACCUUUGUUUCCUCUGCCUCAGACUUUAACGUUCUGAACCAAGUGGAAUGCAGUUGAGGUCGAAGAAUGCCGUUGGAGAGACCAGAGGUUGCCGUGGUGGUGCUUGCCGGAGAUCACGGCGAGAUGCGCUGCUGGGAGACGAGACGUCGCCAGCGAGGUUGGGGACGAGCUGCUGGUUAAAGAUCAUGUAAUGAUUUUGUAAUGUAGAUGCUACUUGCAAAUGUUGGUUCCAUAUCCUACAAUUUAGAUGCCUGGCUACAAUUUUAAUGCAUGAUCAUGUUACUGUGUUUGAUUAAAAUACCAGGCAAUAUGAUAACUGCAUAUAUUUGUGCAAGUACUAUGAUUAUUGCUUUGUUUUGAAUAGUGCCUGCAAACAUAAUCAAAGGCAUUGUUGAAAACAGCCUUCAAAUGUAA